This 2303-nucleotide long non-coding RNA is filed under the name Gadus morhua (Atlantic cod). RNAcentral describes it as "lncRNA (ENSGMOG00000029286.1)". The record is from RNAcentral. Lineage: Eukaryota; Metazoa; Chordata; Actinopteri; Gadiformes; Gadidae.
UCAUUCGACGCAGGGGGGUUUCAACUCAUUACAAUGUAGGCCUAAUCCCUCCGCCGCAAACCCUAACCCUAACCCUCCGCGGCUGAUAAGUGCGUAACCCUAAACCUAACCACUACUACCUUAACUCUAACCUGUUUCAGUGCCAUAUCAAAUAACCAAUCGGAGGAGAGAAAAAAGAUUUGCGGGAGCGCUUUCUGGGCGUCAGAUAUCACCGUGGAGGGAUUUGGGAGGGAGUUGAAUAUCACCUGCGUCGAAUGUAGACGCACAAGGACACCCUCUGCGUCAGCAUUUAACGCCAAAAGCCCCCAAAAAGCGACGAUUUUUGACGAACUCGAAAUGAGACUGUGUUGUCAGACAAAGUAACCCUUCACGUCUAUCUACCGGCUAUGUGGCUGCUGUCAUUCAGAACACAGCGGUACAGGCCGUGGACUGUAAAUGUUACUAGGUUUUGAGCUGGCAAAUUGCCGUGGCAGAUUUCCCGGAAUAUUCAAAUGUCAGUCUUCGAGACUGUCCCAGUUUAAAAAAACAUAUUCACCAAGAAAACAACCAACAAACCAAAACCAACCAACUCAUUUCAAAGUGGGCUCUAAUCGAAUAUUUAUGUACAAUCCUUUAGAUUAAAAUACAAAUGAAUAUGGACACAUUUGGAUUCAUCUUUAUUGGUGAGUAACAGUCUAUCUUUAUCUAUAGCCUACACACACACACACACACACAUAUAUAUAUAUAUAUAUAUAUAUAUAUAUAUAUAUAUAUAUACAUACACACACACACUGUAUAUUGAAUCGUCACCGACAAGAACAAUGGUUUUGAUAGUCCUCUCCCUAAAACACGUUUACAGUUUUAACAAUUAUAUCAAGAGUGGAUCCGGCUGAAACGACGAGUAGGCCUACUGCAGUACCAACAAGAAAACCUACUACCCCGGACUCCACACAGCCUCCUACAGCAGGCGAAGGGACAUCAUCUUUGACAUUCAGUUUGAGACGCACAUUUGAAAGCUCUAUGUCAGAUCCUACUUCCACAGCUUAUCAGAGCCUGGCUAAGGAAGUCACAAGAGAGGUAAACAAAGGCUACAGAGCCAUAUUUCCACUCACUUAUUCCCGAUGUGUAAUUAGGUCUUUCAGUAAUGGCUCAAUCCGUGUGGCUAUGAGUAUGGUCUACCAUAACAAGACAGUUGUUCCGACUGGAAUGCUGGUAGAGGAGGCACUGCGGGACGUGAUCAUCUCAGGGAUCAUCGACCUCAACGUGAACGUUUCUACUAUUUCCACAACAACCAACACCUCAGGAGGACCCACUCUGAAAAUGACCAUCACAACUGCAUUUUGUUUGCCUUUCUUGUUGACGGUCUUCAAAGGAAUGUUGUCCAGUACAUAGUACCCUCAUGUCUUGUCUUAUAUUGAAGGUGGAGUUACUUUUUACUCCUACUAUUGUUACCUUGUGUUGAAAUAUUCCCAUGACCAAUGACAUCAACAUGCUUAGGUGUUAAGUUAGUUAGUUAUAAGUCAGCACCCAUUUCGAUAAUGGUAAGAAGAAUUUGAGAUAUUGAUCGUUUCCACUGCUUAGCAGUGUCAAUCAAAUAUAAUUUAAACAUAUUUAUUUCAUUUUCACCGAAAGUGGAAACUGAGUGCAAAAGAAAGCACUUAAAUAAAUAACUGAACUAUGAUCAACCUUGCAGUAUGAGCUCCUUUAGGUCUUUUGACAGUUCAAUGCCAUAUGCCAAGAAUGGCAAAUAUAAUAUAAGAGACAUUUGGCAAUGAAGAAAAUAAUAACUUAUAUCAUAAGUAUAUUUCUAUAUAAAUUCUAUGUUAUAUUUAAUCAUAUUUGUUUCAUAGACUAUUUGUUACACUUGGGUCAGUCUCAGAUAGUUUGUUUUUUUAUAAACCUACCUCUGAGGUAUGAUCCAAUAAAGGUCAGAAUCAGAGAUAGGGCAUGUAACGGCACCAGUUCUGAGAUUCAUGAUGAAGAUCUGACAACUUAAAUUAAAAAAGACAGCAAGUUAUGUUUUGUAUUUCUAACAGCCGGGGGUUGAACAGUGAGUUGCUGCCAGAGCUAGCUGUUGUUCCACAUAUAAAGUAUUUGUUUGUGUUUGCUAUAUGUUCUUACAGCAAAACAAGCAUUGAGUGCUAUCUGUCAAGAUAUAGCUAAAUCUUGUUGAACUAAUAAAAUGUAUGUUGUAACUCCAUAUUACACUGCUCAUAGAUGAGUACAAUAAACUAUAAUCCAUUGGAGCCUACCUGUAUUGUAUUAUGGGGUUAAUUAUUGUUAUGAAUCGCCAUACUCAUAUUGAAUGUGACACUGUGUAGGUA